CCACGUUGAUAGGCAGGAUGUGUAAGGUCGGUGACGGCCUCAGCAGACCUGUACUAAUUGCCCGAAAGACUUUCGUUG
Molecule: ribosomal RNA, 78 nt
Filed under: Bacteroidales bacterium
Lineage: Bacteria; Pseudomonadati; Bacteroidota; Bacteroidia; Bacteroidales
Description: partial 23S ribosomal RNA
Rfam family: Bacterial large subunit ribosomal RNA
Source: RNAcentral